AACAUUGCAAGUCGAACGAUGAAGCCCAGCUUGCUGGGUGGAUUAGUGGCGAACGGGUGAGUAACACGUGAGUAACCUGCCCUUAACUCUGGGAUAAGCCUGGGAAACUGGGUCUAAUACCGGAUAGGAGCGUCCACCGCAUGGUGGGUGUUGGAAAGAUUUAUCGGUUUUGGAUGGACUCGCGGCCUAUCAGCUUGUUGGUGAGGUAAUGGCUCACCAAGGCGACGACGGGUAGCCGGCCUGAGAGGGUGACCGGCCACACUGGGACUGAGACACGGCCCAGACUCCUACGGGAGGCAGCAGUGGGGAAUAUUGCACAAUGGGCGAAAGCCUGAUGCAGCGACGCCGCGUGAGGGAUGACGGCCUUCGGGUUGUAAACCUCUUUCAGUAGGGAAGAAGCGAAAGUGACGGUACCUGCAGAAGAAGCACCGGCUAACUACGUGCCAGCAGCCGCGGUAAUACGUAGGGUGCGAGCGUUAUCCGGAAUUAUUGGGCGUAAAGAGCUCGUAGGCGGUUUGUCGCGUCUGUCGUGAAAGUCCGGGGCUUAACCCCGGAUCUGCGGUGGGUACGGGCAGACUAGAGUGCAGUAGGGGAGACUGGAAUUCCUGGUGUAGCGGUGGAAUGCGCAGAUAUCAGGAGGAACACCGAUGGCGAAGGCAGGUCUCUGGGCUGUAACUGACGCUGAGGAGCGAAAGCAUGGGGAGCGAACAGGAUUAGAUACCCUGGUAGUCCAUGCCGUAAACGUUGGGCACUAGGUGUGGGGACCAUUCCACGGUUUCCGCGCCGCAGCUAACGCAUUAAGUGCCCCGCCUGGGGAGUACGGCCGCAAGGCUAAAACUCAAAGGAAUUGACGGGGGGCCCGCCCAAGCGG
RNAcentral lists this ribosomal RNA (871 nucleotides) under Micrococcus luteus. Its description in RNAcentral is "bacterial SSU rRNA". It matches the Rfam family "Bacterial small subunit ribosomal RNA", at positions 50 to 932 of the family's 1533-position model. The record is from RNAcentral. Lineage: Bacteria; Bacillati; Actinomycetota; Actinomycetes; Micrococcales; Micrococcaceae.